This 91-nucleotide transfer RNA is filed under the name Planctomycetota bacterium. Its description in RNAcentral is "tRNA-Ser". It matches the Rfam family "tRNA". Rfam says of the family: Transfer RNA (tRNA) molecules are approximately 80 nucleotides in length. Their secondary structure includes four short double-helical elements and three loops (D, anti-codon, and T loops). The record is from RNAcentral. RNAcentral also lists the same sequence under 1 other name. Lineage: Bacteria; Pseudomonadati; Planctomycetota.
GGAGAGGUGGCCGAGUGGCUGAAGGCAACGGUUUGCUAAACCGUCGUAGGGGCAUAUACCUCUACCGCGGGUUCGAAUCCCGCCCUCUCCG